AUGCAUGAUCAGAGAGAUAUGGCGAGGGAGGUGGAGAGGAAGUUGUUGGUGAUCUUGAAGAAUGGCAAGACGCCGAGCGAUGCGCCGCUGCACCAACUGCCCAAGACGCUGAGCGGCGCGCAGCUGCUGCCGCUGCCCAAGAAGAUGACAAGCACAAAUGAUGGUUUGAUCUGUGUGCAGUUGCUUUAUUUAUUUCUUAAUCAGUGGAGAUCAUUUUUAUUAAUUAUUUUGACACGACCUCUAUGCUUUCUGUCAAGAGAUUGUUUUUGUACUUGCUUAUUUAUUGUUAUCUACCAUUUUUAA
Molecule: ribosomal RNA, 303 nt
Filed under: Triticum aestivum (bread wheat)
Lineage: Eukaryota; Viridiplantae; Streptophyta; Magnoliopsida; Poales; Poaceae
Description: partial small subunit ribosomal RNA
Source: RNAcentral